This 229-nucleotide ribosomal RNA is filed under the name uncultured bacterium. RNAcentral describes it as "partial 16S ribosomal RNA". It matches the Rfam family "Bacterial small subunit ribosomal RNA", at positions 568 to 796 of the family's 1533-position model. The record is from RNAcentral.
UGCGUAGGCGGACUAAUAAGUCAGUGGUGAAAUCCCGCAGCUUAACUGUGGAACUGUCAUUGAUACUGGUUUUCUUGAAUUUAGUUGAGGUAGGCGGAAUGUGUAAUGUAGCGGUGAAAUGCUUAGAUAUUACACAGAACACCGAUUGCGAAGGCAGCUUACUAAACUAUGAUUGACGCUGAGGUACGAAAGCGUGGGGAGCGAACAGGAUUAGAUACCCUGGUAGUCC